Long non-coding RNA from Sceloporus undulatus (fence lizard), 3143 nucleotides. RefSeq lists it as uncharacterized. Lineage: Eukaryota; Metazoa; Chordata; Lepidosauria; Squamata; Phrynosomatidae. The record is from RefSeq and is a predicted model, not a curated record. The transcript has 5 exons.
GAGAAGGACUCUCUAGGAAUCUGAGCCUCCGCUCUCUCUUCCCCUUGUAAGAGGACUCUCUAGGAAUCUGAGCGUUCCUCUCCCUUGGACCCUGGUUGGCUGGAGGUUUUGGGGGUAGCUUUGGGAGAGAGUGAGGAGGGGACAGUCAGGAACCAACAACAAACCAAGAGUCAACCUGGUCUUCAUUCCCACCUUAUAGGAAGAAAGAUGGGACGAAGAGAAGCCUAGUGGGUGGAGCAGGGAGGUGACCAGAGGAGGAGGAGGAGGCAAAGGCAAAGGGCUGCAGCAUCUUCUUGUUUGUGUCUUCUUUCUCGUUGGUCUCCUGUGUCCUGGGUUUGGCCUGUGAAAUGCUGGAAGCUCUAGUUCUACCUUUGAGGUAGUGGCUAUGUAAUUUCCCCAAAAGGAAGUGAGAUCCCCUGAAUCCAGGCUAGAGGGCUUCCUACAAAGAAAUCAGGAUGGAAGAUGUUGGGAAGGAGACCUCUCUGGAGAAAUGCUUGACUUGCCUUCAAAAGGACACCUCUUCCCUGAUCAGCCACUUUCAAGAUUGAAUUCCUAUUGAUCUAUGAAACCUUCUGGCAAAUGUUGGCUUAAAGGAGAGACACAAGGAAGGACUACUCAGCCUUCACCUGUUCACAGAGUAAUCAACAGGUUGCCUCCAAGAAGCCCACCAGGAGCCCUGAGUGCUGCCUGUGAGGAGUCCUGUGAGUUGUCUUGUCAAAUGCCUCCUUGGACAAUGAGGUCACAAUGGCAGGUUGUGAUGUGUCUCCAAGAGCCUCCCCUUUGUGACGCCUGGCUGAGCUCAAGAGUCAAUGAGGUUUCCAUGCCAUCUCCCAACCCUGAGAGGCCCCCAUCCUCCAAACAAGUGAACCUGAAGGACUGUUGUUGCAUGGUGUUUCCAAGCAAUCCUGGGUCCUGCAUCUCCUCAGUGGUGAGACUAGCUGUCAUGUGUUGGGAAUUGGAAAGUAGGCCACCUUUAGCGGGAUAUGCUGCUUUACAUCACACUUCCCUGGCCAGGGAAGGAGGGAAGGCAGACUCCCCAGAUGAACAGCUGCUCUUCUGUCCCAGUUGGCUUCAUAUUGUUGGGUUGUCUGUGGAGUUCCUACAUACGAGACAGAAGGUAGGUUGUGGAGGCUGCUAUGGGAUGCAGACAUCUAGAUUUGGAGUGCAAAAUAUUCACAAAAUGGUGCCUUGUUUAAUUAAGCUGCUGUUUUAACAAGCAGAACUGAUCGAGAAAAAUACCCCAAGCUUUUCAGGAGAAACCUGAAGAACAGUCAGGAUGAAGCAAAGCCAAGCUGUAGCUAAACACCUGUAACUUCAAUGUCUGAAAGGAGUAAUCUUGAGAGCAAUUAGACUGAGCAAAUUGGUGGUGAUUAUGAGAGGAUGACAUAAAUGUACUGGAGAUGUCUCAUCCAGAGGGUUGUCAUGAGUUGGGACUAAGCAGGAGCUCUGGUUACCCAGGAUGGAAAAUUUGGAAGCAUUCAGAAACAAUAGUACUGCAUCUUAUACUAAACUGAACUGAGUUCAGUUUAUUGACCGAAAUUUUACUGUUUCUUUCCUCAGCAAGCAAUAAUACACUUAAUAAAUAAAUAUCAAAUAAGAACAAUAGCAAUAACAAUGGAACAUUGUCUAAAUAGCUUAAUUUCCCUCUCCUGUUUGUAUUGCUUACUCUAGAGCUCCCAACCCCAGUUCUUUUACCUAGGGUUUCGUUGAUCUCGAUCCAAUCUAGGUGGGGCCCAAGGCAACUCCUUUUGCUAGCUCCUGUGUGCAGAGAUCUACUUCAGCAUCAGGGCAUCCACAGUGGGGUCAUAGAAGGAUCAUGCAUCCUGUAGAUUGUGGAAGAGGACAGUCCCGAGGUCCCUGACGGAGGAUCUUGCCAGCUCAGAGAUACAAUGCCAGUGCUUCAGGCAGUUCUCUUACGAGGAGAGCGACGUGCCCCAAGAGGUUUGCAGCUGACUCACCAUCUCUGCUCUUGGUGGCUGAAGCCACAGUGACACACAAAAAAUGAGAUCCUGGCCCUGGUGAUCCUGACCAUCUUGCCCCCAGAGGAGAAGAACCAGGUCAAGAAAUGUGGGGCAGUGGCCCUGGCAGAAGGUUUCCUCCUGAGUCAGGCAGAGAAGAAGCAGGAAGAGCAGCAGGUCAAGAAUCCCUUGGUAGAAGUUCACUCUGAAUUCCCUUUGGCUGUUGGACCCCAGGCAGAGUCCCCAAUGGAGAGUAAUCAAACAGAAGGGUGAUGGAGGGAAACCCUUGCAAGGUAAGGAUGAACAUUAGCUGUCCAGAAUCCUCAUUGUUAUGUCCUCAAGUUAUUUCCAUCUUAUGGUGACUGAGGACUAUCAUGCCUUUUUGUUUGGCAAGAUUUGGUCAGAGGUUUGAUGUUGUCUUCCUGUAAGGUUGAGAGAAUGUGACUUGCUCAGGGUCACCCAGGGAGUCUUCAUGGCCAAGUGGAAAUUCAAACCCUGCUGUCCACAGUCAUAGUCUGUUGCUAAAACUACUACAGUAUACUGACUCUAAUUUCCCCUCUGGAAGUAGUUGAAUCUUUUGGUCUGAUGCAGAACAACCAUGAUAAGUUCCAGAGUAUGGAAGAAAAGUAUUUCAUGCAGGUUCACUGAGGUUCCAGAUACAUCUGUAGAUGUGCAUUUGGUUCCAAAAAGACUGCACUUCCAUUGUGUAGUACUUGCAGUGCAUAUCUCCACAUGCAGAGAGUUAAGUUCUCCACCCUUGAUGUAGGGUCUCUGCCACUUUGUGUUCAUAUGUACACUUGUCCUUCCACAUUUGUGGCUUUGACUUUUGCAGAUUGACCUGAUUUUAUAAUCAUAUUUCUUAAUUUUAAUCACUUGUAUUUGCUUAUUCUCAUUUAUCCUCCCAAUUAAAACUUCCCUUAUCAAUACAAAAAACCGUGGGGAUAAUGGGCAACUUUGUCUUGUCCCUUUCAAUUUUAAAGGUUUUAAUUUUCUCUCUUUUAAUAACUAUUUAUGCCCUCUAUUCAUUAUAUAUUUUCUCUAUCAGCCAAGAUAACAUUGUCCCAGAUUCAUUUUUCUUAAUAUUGCCAACAUUGUAUCCUGGAUGAGGGAAAACAGACUCAGCCUGAAUCCAGAAAAAACGGAAGUACUCGUGAUAGGUUCCCCUGGUCCGGGAAUGGCGGUGGU